UACGGAGGGUGCAAGCGUUGUCCGGAUUUACUGGGCGUAAAGGGCUCGUAGGCGGCCAACUAAGUCAGACGUGAAAUCCCUCGGCUUAACCGGGGAACUGCGUCUGAUACUGGAUGGCUUGAGUUUGGGAGAGGGAUGCGGAAUUCCAGGUGUAGCGGUGAAAUGCGUAGAUAUCUGGAGGAACACCGGUGGCGAAGGCGGGUCUCUGGGCCGUAACUGACGCUGAGGAGCGAAAGCAUGGGGAGCAAACGGG
RNAcentral lists this ribosomal RNA (253 nucleotides) under uncultured bacterium. RNAcentral describes it as "partial 16S ribosomal RNA". It matches the Rfam family "Bacterial small subunit ribosomal RNA", at positions 524 to 776 of the family's 1533-position model. The record is from RNAcentral.